AUUCAAUUCAAUUCAAUUUAAUUCAAUUUAAUUCAGUUCAAUUCAAUUCAAAAAUACUUUAUUAAUCCCAGAGGGAAAUUGAUUAUUUCAGGGAUAAACCUCCAUCUGCUCCCUUCUCUGCUGUCCACAGAAAGGAUCCUUUGUGCCAGGCUCCGCGGGCGCCUCAGCUCCGAGGUUUUACCUUUCACUCACAGGAUCUUUAGCCAAUAGGACCCUCACCUAUGUGUGGACAGGAGGGUAAAAGAUCUGCAGCGACUAGCUCCUCGUGACUGAAACGCUCUGACAGCUCAGACUGAUCAGCAGUGACCCAACAGGGAGCAACCACAGGUUUGGAAAACUGGACAAGGUGAACAUGAGCUCUCCUGGAGGAUUCUGGACCAUCUGCACUUGGCUGGGACCUCCUCACGAACUUUGGCUCGCUGGGUCCAUUUUCAUCCACAAGCUUUUGGAUGGGUGACGACUGGCUGGACUUCCAAAAGGGAGGAAACUUUUUUCCAGGGUGGAAAGUGUUGUUUCUCCUCAUUUCCAGCUCCACAUACCACAAUAAUACUGCCUCAACUAUCGCUCUGUUUCUCUUCUAUUCUUCUCUGAAUGCCCUGGUUGUUCUGAGGACAUCUCUCAGAGGUAAACAGGAUUUUCUGCACCUAUGAGGUCAAAGUGUCCCCCCCCCCCCCCAUCUCUUCAUGCCUGACCUUAAAUCUACCAUGUCCUGUCAAAGGCUCUUCUAAUAAAUCCAUGCAGUUUUUGCUCUUUCUGAA
Nothobranchius furzeri (turquoise killifish) is the source of this 758-nucleotide long non-coding RNA. RefSeq lists it as uncharacterized. Lineage: Eukaryota; Metazoa; Chordata; Actinopteri; Cyprinodontiformes; Nothobranchiidae. The record is from RefSeq and is a predicted model, not a curated record.